Molecule: ribosomal RNA, 497 nt
Filed under: uncultured bacterium
Lineage: Bacteria
Description: partial 16S ribosomal RNA
Rfam family: Bacterial small subunit ribosomal RNA
Source: RNAcentral
GACGAACGCUGGCGGCGUGCCUAAUACAUGCAAGUUGAGCGCUGAAGGUUGGUACUUGUACCGACUGGAUGAGCAGCGAACGGGUGAGUAACGCGUGGGGAAUCUGCCUUUGAGCGGGGGACAACAUUUGGAAACGAAUGCUAAUACCGCAUAAAAACUUUAAACACAAGUUUUAAGUUUGAAAGAUGCAAUUGCAUCACUCAAAGAUGAUCCCGCGUUGUAUUAGCUAGUUGGUGAGGUAAAGGCUCACCAAGGCGAUGAUACAUAGCCGACCUGAGAGGGUGAUCGGCCACAUUGGGACUGAGACACGGCCCAAACUCCUACGGGAGGCAGCCGUAGGGAAUCCUCGGCCAUGGACGAAAGUCUGACCGAGCAACGCCGCGUGAGUGAAGAAGGUUUUCGGAUCGUAAAACUCUGUUGGUAGAGAAGAACGUUGGUGAGAGUGGAAAGCUCAUCAAGUGACGGUAACUACCCAGAAAGGGACGGCUGACUACGUG